UACAGAGGGUGCGAGCGUUAAUCGGAAUUACUGGGCGUAAAGCGCACGUAGGCGGCUUGGUAUGUCGGGUGUGAAAUCCCCGGGCUCAACCUGGGAACUGCAUCCGAAACUGCCUUGCUCGAGUAUGGGAGAGGGAAGUGGAAUUUCCGGUGUAGCGGUGAAAUGCGUAGAUAUCAGGAAGAACACCCGUGGCUAAGGCGGUUCUCUAGUACGGUACUGACGCUGAGACGCGAAAGCGUGGGGAGCGAACAGG
RNAcentral lists this ribosomal RNA (253 nucleotides) under uncultured bacterium. Its description in RNAcentral is "partial 16S ribosomal RNA". It matches the Rfam family "Bacterial small subunit ribosomal RNA", at positions 524 to 776 of the family's 1533-position model. The record is from RNAcentral.